RNAcentral lists this ribosomal RNA (253 nucleotides) under uncultured Eubacteriales bacterium. Its description in RNAcentral is "uncultured Clostridiales bacterium partial 16S ribosomal RNA". It matches the Rfam family "Bacterial small subunit ribosomal RNA", at positions 524 to 776 of the family's 1533-position model. Lineage: Bacteria; Bacillati; Bacillota; Clostridia; Eubacteriales. The record is from RNAcentral.
UACGGAAGGUCCGGGCGUUAUCCGGAUUUAUUGGGUUUAAAGGGAGCGUAGGCCGGCUUUUAAGUCAGCUGUGAAAGUCCGCGGCUCAACUGCGGGACUGCUUUUGAAACUGCCAAGCUAGAGUGUCGGAGAGGUAAGUGGAAUUCCUAGUGUAGCGGUGAAAUGCGUAGAUAUUAGGAGGAACACCAGUGGCGAAGGCGGCUUACUGGACGAUGACUGACGCUGAGGCUCGAAAGCGUGGGGAGCAAACAGG